Molecule: transfer RNA, 72 nt
Filed under: Camelus bactrianus (Bactrian camel)
Lineage: Eukaryota; Metazoa; Chordata; Mammalia; Artiodactyla; Camelidae
Also listed under: 2 other names
Rfam family: tRNA
About the family: Transfer RNA (tRNA) molecules are approximately 80 nucleotides in length.
Source: Rfam by way of RNAcentral
GAAGGUAUAGCUCAGUGGUAAAGCACAUGCUUAGCAUGCAUGGAGGUCCUGGGUUCAAUCCUCAUACCUCCA